This 249-nucleotide ribosomal RNA is filed under the name uncultured bacterium. RNAcentral's name for it is "partial 16S ribosomal RNA". It matches the Rfam family "Bacterial small subunit ribosomal RNA", at positions 84 to 334 of the family's 1533-position model. The record is from RNAcentral.
UUUGAUGGCGACCGGCGCACGGGUGAGUAACACGUAUCCAACCUGCCGAUGACUCGGGGAUAGCCUUUCGAAAGAAAGAUUAAUACCCGAUGGCAUAGUUCUUCCGCAUGGUAGAACUAUUAAAGAAUUUCGGUCAUCGAUGGGGAUGCGUUCCAUUAGGUUGUUGGCGGGGUAACGGCCCACCAAGCCUUCGAUGGAUAGGGGUUCUGAGAGGAAGGUCCCCCACAUUGGAACUGAGACACGGUCCGA